This 233-nucleotide ribosomal RNA is filed under the name uncultured bacterium. RNAcentral's name for it is "partial 16S ribosomal RNA". It matches the Rfam family "Bacterial small subunit ribosomal RNA", at positions 104 to 334 of the family's 1533-position model. The record is from RNAcentral.
CGGACGGGGUGAGUAAUGUCUGGGAAACUGCCUGAUGGAGGGGGAUAACUACUGGAAACGGUAGCUAAUACCGCAUAACGUCGCAAGACCAAAGAGGGGGACCUUUGGGCCUCUUGCCAUCGGAUGUGCCCAGAUGGGAUUAGCUUGUUGGUGGGGUAACGGCUCACCAAGGCGACGAUCCCUAGCUGGUCUGAGAGGAUGACCAGCCACACUGGAACUGAGACACGGUCCAG